This 274-nucleotide ribosomal RNA is filed under the name uncultured bacterium. RNAcentral's name for it is "partial 16S ribosomal RNA". It matches the Rfam family "Bacterial small subunit ribosomal RNA", at positions 523 to 796 of the family's 1533-position model. The record is from RNAcentral.
AUACGGAGGGUGCAAGCGUUACUCGGAAUCACUGGGCGUAAAGCGCGCGCAGGCGGGCUGAUAAGUUGGAUGUGAAAGCCUACGGCUCAACCGUAGAACUGCAUCCAAAACGGUCAGUCUAGAGUGUGGGAGAGGAAGAUGGAAUUAGUUGUGUAGGGGUAAAAUCCGUAGAGAUAACUAGGAAUACCAAAAGCGAAGGCAAUCUUCUGGAACACUGCUGACGCUGAGGCGCGAAGGCGUGGGGAGCAAACAGGAUUAGAAACCCCAGUAGUCC